CCGCUCCUUUCAGCCUCUCUAUGGUGCUGCCUUGUGUCAAACCUGCGUGUCAAGCAGCAUCGUACAGGGCUUGGAAAGUGUCG
Molecule: microRNA precursor, 83 nt
Organism: Petromyzon marinus (sea lamprey)
Lineage: Eukaryota; Metazoa; Chordata; Hyperoartia; Petromyzontiformes; Petromyzontidae
Gene: pma-mir-103a
Product: pma-mir-103a
Source: Ensembl